UUUUUCUUUUUUCCUCCUUCACGUGAAAUCCCUUCCCCCCUCUCAACCUUGUUCUUUCUUCUCUUUCUUUGCCCAGCUGCUAGCCUCCCCGACAAGAUCUGAUGAACGACAGCGCUCCUCCCGACAACACACUCCUGCAGACGACGGCGCAGCAAGAAACUCGGCGGGCAGCGACAUUCUACUCUAUUUCGCGGCAGUUCGAGGUGGGCGCGGCGGUCUGCUGUGUUGGGCGAUGUCUCGAGGUUUCAGUGGCAGCCAACAACCCAUUUCAACUUAGUCUGGGAGGCCCUCAUGCCCUUGUGGCGAUGAUUACGGCUGUAAGGACAUUUUUGAUGCAUUCUGCUGCUAUAAAAAACGACAACAAAGUCGUUGGAAGUUGUUUCGGCGCGUUCCUCUGUUGCAAAACAUGGACAGCAGCAGCUUCGUGGUGUUUGACGCGUUCAAAGCCCGAUUUACGUUACCCACCCUUGCUCGAGUUAGAUAUGAGUUAUCCACACCUAAGCGAAGUCGUUUUGUAUAACGGAUAGCAAAACGAAGUCGUUGGAAGUUGUUUCGACGCGUUCCUCUGCUACAAAACGUGGACAACAGCAGUUUCGUGGUGUUUGGUGCUUACCCACACCCGUUCGAAGCUUGAUUUACGUUACCCACCCUUACUCGAGUUAGAUAUGAGUUACCCACACUCAAACGAAGUCAUUUUUGUGUAACGGACCAUGCAAACUCUCCUUAUAACUGAUUUUUAUGUCCGAAA
Molecule: non-coding RNA, 748 nt
Organism: Momordica charantia (bitter melon)
Lineage: Eukaryota; Viridiplantae; Streptophyta; Magnoliopsida; Cucurbitales; Cucurbitaceae
Source: RefSeq, a predicted model, not a curated record